AACGAACGCUGGCGGCAUGCCUAACACAUGCAAGUCGAACGAGACCUUCGGGUCUAGUGGCGCACGGGUGCGUAACGCGUGGGAACCUGCCCUUAGGUUCGGAAUAACUCCCCGAAAGGGGUGCUAAUACCGGAUAAUGUCUUCGGACCAAAGAUUUAUCGCCUUUGGAUGGGCCCGCGUUGGAUUAGCUAGUUGGUAGGGUAAAAGCCUACCAAGGCGACGAUCCAUAGCUGGUCUGAGAGGAUGCUCAGCCACACUGGGACUGAGACACGGCCCAGACUCCUACGGGAGGCAGCAGUGGGGAAUAUUGGACAAGGGGCGAAAGCCUGAUCCAGCAAUGCCGCGUGAGUGAUGAAGGCCUUAGGGUUGUAAAGCUCUUUUACCCGGGAUGAUAAUGACAGUACCGGGAGAAUAAGCUCCGGCUAACUCCGUG
Molecule: ribosomal RNA, 433 nt
Filed under: uncultured bacterium
Lineage: Bacteria
Description: partial 16S ribosomal RNA
Rfam family: Bacterial small subunit ribosomal RNA
Source: RNAcentral